GGAAGGAUCAUUACCGAGUGAGGGCCCUCUGGGUCCAACCUCCCACCCGUGUCUAUCGUACCUUGUUGCUUCGGCGGGCCCGCCUUUCGACGGCCGCCGGGGAGGCCUUGCGCCCCCGGGCCCGCGCCCGCCGAAGACCCCAACAUGAACGCUGUUCUGAAAGUAUGCAGUCUGAGUUGAUUAUCGUAAUCAGUUAAAACUUUCAACAACGGAUCUCUUGGUUCCGGCAUCGAUGAAGAACGCAGCGAAAUGCGAUAAGUAAUGUGAAUUGCAGAAUUCAGUGAAUCAUCGAGUCUUUGAACGCACAUUGCGCCCCCUGGUAUUCCGGGGGGCAUGCCUGUCCGAGCGUCAUUGCUGCCCUCAAGCACGGCUUGUGUGUUGGGCCCCCGUCCCCCUCUCCCGGGGGACGGGCCCGAAAGGCAGCGGCGGCACCGCGUCCGGUCCUCGAGCGUAUGGGGCUUUGUCACCUGCUCUGUAGGCCCGGCCGGCGCCAGCCGACACCCAACUUUAUUUUUCUAAGGUUGACCUCGGAUCAGGUAGGGAUACCCGCUGAACUUAAGCAUA
RNAcentral lists this unclassified non-coding RNA (564 nucleotides) under Microsporum canis ATCC 36299. RNAcentral describes it as "sequence contains ITS1, 5.8S rRNA gene, ITS2". The stretch from base 198 to 351 matches the Rfam family "5.8S ribosomal RNA". RNAcentral also lists the same sequence under 1 other name. Lineage: Eukaryota; Fungi; Ascomycota; Eurotiomycetes; Onygenales; Arthrodermataceae. The record is from RNAcentral.